This 301-nucleotide ribosomal RNA is filed under the name uncultured bacterium. RNAcentral's name for it is "partial 16S ribosomal RNA". It matches the Rfam family "Bacterial small subunit ribosomal RNA", at positions 509 to 807 of the family's 1533-position model. The record is from RNAcentral.
CAGCCGCCGCGGGAAUACGAAGGGUGCAAGCGUUAAUCGGAAUUACUGGGCGUAAAGCGUGCGUAGGCGGUUUGUUAAGUCUGCUGUGAAAUCCCCGGGCUCAACCUGGGAAUGGCAGUGGAUACUGGCAAGCUAGAGUGUGUCAGAGGAUGGUGGAAUUCCCGGUGUAGCGGUGAAAUGCGUAGAGAUCGGGAGGAACAUCAGUGGCGAAGGCGGCCAUCUGGGACAACACUGACGCUGAGGCACGAAAGCGUGGGGAGCAAACAGGAUUAGAUACCCCUGUAGUCCCUGUUUCUUAUAC